AGAGUUUGAUCCUGGCUCAGGACGAACGCUGGCGGCGUGCCUAAUACAUGCAAGUCGAGCGCGGGAAGCCGGACUGAUCCCUUCGGGGUGACGAUCGGUGGAACGAGCGGCGGAUGGGUGAGUAACACGUGGGUAACCUGCCUGUAAGCCUGGGAUAACUCGCGGAAACGCGAGCUAAUACCGGAUGACACGAAAGUUCGCAUGAACUUUUGUUGAAAGGCGGCUUUUAGCUGUCACUUACAGAUGGGCCCGCGGCGCAUUAGCUAGUUGGUGAGGUAACGGCUUACCAAGGCGACGAUGCGUAGCCGACCUGAGAGGGUGAUCGGCCACACUGGGACUGAGACACGGCCCAGACUCCUACGGGAGGCAGCAGUAGGGAAUCUUCCGCAAUGGACGAAAGUCUGACGGAGCAACGCCGCGUGAGUGAUGAAGGUCUUCGGAUCGUAAAACUCUGUUGUUAGGGAAGAACAAGUAUAAGGCGAAUAACCUUAUACCUUGACGGUACCUAACCAGAAAGCCCCGGCUAACUACGUGCCAGCAGCCGCGGUAAU
RNAcentral lists this ribosomal RNA (551 nucleotides) under uncultured bacterium. RNAcentral describes it as "bacterial SSU rRNA". It matches the Rfam family "Bacterial small subunit ribosomal RNA", at positions 8 to 524 of the family's 1533-position model. The record is from RNAcentral.